CAGACUUAUGAAUACAGAUACCGGGCUCAACCGAGGAAUUCAUCAAAUUGCUUCAACAUUGAAUUGGGGACCCGACCCUCGUCAUAGUGCAGGAAGACUAACUCAUAAAGCCUUACAGUCAACUCAUGGUGAUUGGCAUAUAUGGCAUGUUUUCUCACUAGAGUGGACAGAACAACAUGUCAUUUGCUUGGUUGAUGACCAAGAAAUACUACGUGUGAACACGCCCUCUGAAGGUUUCUGGAAGUUUGGAUAUUUUAAUGGAAACAAGCAUCUGGGGAAAUUCUCUGAACGCUCCUUUUGAUCAACCAUUCCAGCUCCUGUUGAAUGUGGCCGUGGGAGGCACGAAGUAUUUCGGCGAUAAUUUACACUAUGACACACCUAAACCCUGGCGCAACGACUCCCCACACCCCAUGAGGGACUUCUGGGAGAAAAGGAAUGUUUUGCUUCCAACCUGGCAUGGCGAUAAUAUUGCUUUUCUUAUUGAUUAUGUAGAAAUGAUUCAAUAUUAAAAUGAUUAAAA
Long non-coding RNA from Saccostrea cuccullata (small rock oyster), 520 nucleotides. RefSeq lists it as uncharacterized. The transcript has 4 exons. NCBI's taxonomy places the organism in Eukaryota, Metazoa, Mollusca, Bivalvia, Ostreida, Ostreidae. The record is from RefSeq and is a predicted model, not a curated record.